RNAcentral lists this ribosomal RNA (764 nucleotides) under Mycobacterium riyadhense. RNAcentral's name for it is "bacterial SSU rRNA". It matches the Rfam family "Bacterial small subunit ribosomal RNA", at positions 62 to 829 of the family's 1533-position model. Lineage: Bacteria; Bacillati; Actinomycetota; Actinomycetes; Mycobacteriales; Mycobacteriaceae. The record is from RNAcentral.
UCGAACGGAAAGGCCCCUUCGGGGGUACUCGAGUGGCGAACGGGUGAGUAACACGUGGGUAAUCUGCCCUGCACUUCGGGAUAAGCCUGGGAAACUGGGUCUAAUACCGGAUAGGACCUAGAGGCGCAUGCCUUGUGGUGGAAAGCUUUUGCGGUGUGGGAUGGGCCCGCGGCCUAUCAGCUUGUUGGUGGGGUGACGGCCUACCAAGGCGACGACGGGUAGCCGGCCUGAGAGGGUGUCCGGCCACACUGGGACUGAGAUACGGCCCAGACUCCUACGGGAGGCAGCAGUGGGGAAUAUUGCACAAUGGGCGCAAGCCUGAUGCAGCGACGCCGCGUGGGGGAUGACGGCCUUCGGGUUGUAAACCUCUUUCACCAUCGACGAAGGUCCGGGUUUUCUCGGAUUGACGGUAGGUGGAGAAGAAGCACCGGCCAACUACGUGCCAGCAGCCGCGGUAAUACGUAGGGUGCGAGCGUUGUCCGGAAUUACUGGGCGUAAAGAGCUCGUAGGUGGUUUGUCGCGUUGUUCGUGAAAUCUCACGGCUUAACUGUGAGCGUGCGGGCGAUACGGGCAGACUGGAGUACUGCAGGGGAGACUGGAAUUCCUGGUGUAGCGGUGGAAUGCGCAGAUAUCAGGAGGAACACCGGUGGCGAAGGCGGGUCUCUGGGCAGUAACUGACGCUGAGGAGCGAAAGCGUGGGGAGCGAACAGGAUUAGAUACCCUGGUAGUCCACGCCGUAAACGGUGGGUACUAGGUGUGGGUUU